CAAGAGGAAUCUCAGUGUACAUUCCCUUCACGUGUCCUUUUGUUGCAAAUAGGCGGCAGGAGGACCGGCAGCAGCAGCAGCAGCAGCAGGAGGACCAGGACGACGAGGCCGAGGAGGAGCGGAGCCUGUGGACGGCCUUCAAGAAGCUGCGGGUGGACGCGGCGCGCAGAUGGAUCGCGGCUCAGCCUGUGGGCGACGGGACGGUUCUCACGGCGCCGAGG
Non-coding RNA from Meleagris gallopavo (turkey), 221 nucleotides. Lineage: Eukaryota; Metazoa; Chordata; Aves; Galliformes; Phasianidae. The record is from RefSeq and is a predicted model, not a curated record.